GGUGGCGUAGCUCAACGGAAGAGCACUGGAUUGUCUAUCCAACGGUUGCGGGUUCGACUCCCGUCGCUACCGCCA
Molecule: transfer RNA, 75 nt
Filed under: Lewinella sp. W8
Lineage: Bacteria; Pseudomonadati; Bacteroidota; Saprospiria; Saprospirales; Lewinellaceae
Description: tRNA-Asp
Rfam family: tRNA
About the family: Transfer RNA (tRNA) molecules are approximately 80 nucleotides in length. Their secondary structure includes four short double-helical elements and three loops (D, anti-codon, and T loops).
Source: RNAcentral